GUACAAUGCGAAGCGAAGCAGUGAUGUGAAGCAAAUCGCACCAAAGCCAGUCCCAGUUCGGAUAAGAGGCUGAAACUCGCCUCUUUGAAGUCGGAAUCGCUAGUAAUCGCAGAUCAGCAUGUUGCGGUGAAUACGUUCCCGGGUCUUGUACACACCGCCCGUCAAACCAUGAGAGUCACCAACACCCGAAGUCCGCCUUGGCGGCCUAAGGUGGGGGAGAUGAUUGGGGUUAAGUCGUAACAAGGUAAC
RNAcentral lists this ribosomal RNA (249 nucleotides) under uncultured bacterium. RNAcentral describes it as "partial 16S ribosomal RNA". It matches the Rfam family "Bacterial small subunit ribosomal RNA", at positions 1237 to 1500 of the family's 1533-position model. The record is from RNAcentral.